GUCGAGAAUCUUUCACAAUGGGGGCAACCCUGAUGGAGCGACGCCGCGUGGAGGAUAAGGUCUUCGGAUUGUAAACUCCUGUCAUGCGUGAACAAGGUUGCUUGGUUAAUACCUGGGCAAAUUGAUGGUAACGCAAGAGGAAGAGACGGCUAACUCUGUGCCAGCAGCCGCGGUAAUACAGAGGUCUCAAGCGUUGUUCGGAAUCACUGGGCGUAAAGGGUGCGUAGGUGGCGUGGUAAGUCAGAUGUGAAAGCCCGGGGCUCAACCUCGGAACUGCAUCCGAUACUGCCAUGCUAGAGUACUGGAGAGGUGACUAGAAUUCUCGGUGUAGCAGUGAAAUGCGUAGAUAUCGAGGGGAAUACCAAAGGCGUAGGCAGGUCACUGGACAGUUACUGACACUGAGGCACGAAGGCCAGGGGAGCGAACGGGAUUAGAAACCCUAGUAGUCC
RNAcentral lists this ribosomal RNA (449 nucleotides) under uncultured bacterium. Its description in RNAcentral is "partial 16S ribosomal RNA". It matches the Rfam family "Bacterial small subunit ribosomal RNA", at positions 354 to 796 of the family's 1533-position model. The record is from RNAcentral.